GAUGAACGCUGGCGGCGUGCCUAAUACAUGCAAGUCGAGCGAACAGACGAGGAGCUUGCUCCUCUGACGUUAGCGUCGGACGGGUGAGUAACACGUGGAUAACCUACCUAUAAGACUGGGAUAACUUCGUGAAACCGGAGCUAAUACCGGAUAAUAUAUUGAACCGCAUGGUUCAAUAGUUAAAGACGGUUUUGCUGUCACUUAUAGAUGGAUCCGCUCCGCAUUAGCUAGUUGGUAAGGUAACGGCUUACCAAGGCAACGAUGCGUAGCCGACCUGAGAGGAUGAUCGGCCACACUGGAACUGAGACACGGUCCAGACUCCUACGGGAGGCAGCAGUAGGGAAUAUUCCGCAAUGGGCGAAAGCCUGACGGAGCAACGCCGCGUGAGUGAUGAAGGUCUUCGGAUCGUAAAACUCUGUUAUUAGGGAAGAACAAAUGUGUAAGUAACUAUGCACGUCUUGACGGUACCUAAUCAGAAAGCCACGGCUAACUACGUG
Molecule: ribosomal RNA, 497 nt
Filed under: uncultured bacterium
Lineage: Bacteria
Description: partial 16S ribosomal RNA
Rfam family: Bacterial small subunit ribosomal RNA
Source: RNAcentral